RNAcentral lists this long non-coding RNA (1318 nucleotides) under Salvia miltiorrhiza (redroot sage). RNAcentral's name for it is "long non-coding RNA (SMIL_LNC004763)". The record is from RNAcentral. Lineage: Eukaryota; Viridiplantae; Streptophyta; Magnoliopsida; Lamiales; Lamiaceae.
AUUUACAAAACAACAAAUUAUACCUAUUUAGGACAUUUUUUACCCUUAUGUACCAUUCAUGCAUUGCUCAACACUGAAGAGUCGAGCAUCGAGCAUAGAGCACCUCGAGCAUCGCGUGUCGAGCAAUUAAGCGUCAAACACUGAACUGUCGAACACUGAACCGACGAAGCAGAUGAACGGCGCGGCACAGCAAGGCAGGGGGGCACCAGAGAGAGAGAGAGAGAUGGCAGAGAUUCUGAGCGGUGCGAUCCGGCGUAGCAAGAUUGAGAAAUGAACGCACGACAAAGAGAGGUGCGACGAAGCGGAGGCGAGGUGCGACGCAACAGAUUUUGAAGGCAAAGGGCGGCGCGACGAGGCGGAGGCGCGCAAUGCAGAGGCUAAGGGGAGAGGUGGUGGAGAGAGAAAGAGAGAAGAUGGCAGUGCGACGCUGAGGCGAGGUGCGACGCAGCAGAUUUUGAAGGCAAAGGGCGGCGCGACGAGGCGGAGGCGCGCAAUGCAGAGGCUAAGGGGAGAGGUGGUGGAGAGAGAAAGAGAGAAGAUGGCAGUGCGACUGAGCGGAGGAGAGGCUGAGGCGGGUGGCAGUGAAGCGCGGCGAAGGCACAGUGCAGCUGUGCGGAGACGCAAGCCCGUCUUACCCCGAAUAUCGUGAAUUUAGUAUUAUUUUAAAUAACUAAGUCUAAAUGAGGUGGAAAAUUUUCAUGUAUCAGGUGCAAGCCCGUAUAUGAUAAGGUUAGUUUUAGUAAAGGUAACUAAAAACUAAAAUGGGGGAUAGAUAUACAAACACUUAGACAAAUGGACUCAUUCAGAUAAAGUUAGCUCUCAUCCUAAUAAAUAAACCAUGGGGCGAACUCUCUGGUAGUUGGAACUCGCCAAAAAAAUAUAGUCAAUAAUACAGUAAGAGUUCAAGUUUAGCCCAAUGGCAUAGACCUAAACUGGGGGAGUCUUAGGGCACAUAAGCCCGAUGCAAAUAUAAAGAUUCUUAGAGCACAUCCGCCUAUUCAAAUACAAAUAAAGAUGAAAACGACAUAAAUUGUCGCCAUCGACGUCGCCUGGGAUCUCAUUCUCAUGGUGUGCAGCUUGAAUUUUCUUCCACAAUUGGAUAUUUCCAACAUUGUUCUAAGUUGUAGGACUCAGACUUGCUCACGCAUCUUAGCUCGGGAUUGAAUCGCAGCUUCAUAACAAGCAUUUUGGAUAUUUUCGCACUGCAUUACAUCCAUCUCAGCUAGUUUAGCCUUCAGAUAACUAUUUUUUUCGUCCUUCAAAGCUAACUGAGCCCGAAGAGACACCUCUAGAUCCUUUAGCUCCGCUUGGCCCCCCU